AGUGAACGCUGGCGGUAGGCCUAACACAUGCAAGUCGAACGGCAGCACAGUAAGAGCUUGCUCUUACGGGUGGCGAGUGGCGGACGGGUGAGGAAUACAUCGGAAUCUACUUUUUCGUGGGGGAUAACGUAGGGAAACUUACGCUAAUACCGCAUACGACCUACGGGUGAAAGCAGGGGAUCUUCGGACCUUGCGCGAUUGAAUGAGCCGAUGUCGGCUUAGCUAGUUGGCGGGGUAAAGGCCCACCAAGGCGACGAUCCGUAGCUGGUCUGAGCGGAUGAUCGGCCACACUGGAAGUUAGACACGGACCCGACUCCUGCGGGACGCAGCAGUGGGGAAUGGUGGACAAUGGGCGCAAGCCUGAUCCAGCCAUACCGCGUGGGUGAAGAGGGCCUUCGGGUUGUGAAGCCCUUUUGUUGGGAAAGAAAAGCAGCAGGUUAAUACCCCGCUGUUCUGACGGUACCCAAAGAAUAAGCGCCGGCUAACUUCGUG
This 492-nucleotide ribosomal RNA is filed under the name uncultured bacterium. RNAcentral's name for it is "partial 16S ribosomal RNA". It matches the Rfam family "Bacterial small subunit ribosomal RNA", at positions 29 to 507 of the family's 1533-position model. The record is from RNAcentral.